RNAcentral lists this ribosomal RNA (497 nucleotides) under uncultured bacterium. RNAcentral describes it as "partial 16S ribosomal RNA". It matches the Rfam family "Bacterial small subunit ribosomal RNA", at positions 28 to 507 of the family's 1533-position model. The record is from RNAcentral.
GAUGAACGCUGGCGGCGUGCCUAAUACAUGCAAGUCGAGCGAACGGACGAGAAGCUUGCUUCUCUGAUGUUAGCGGCGGACGGGUGAGUAACACGUGGAUAACCUACCUAUAAGACUGGGAUAACUUCGGGAAACCGGAGCUAAUACCGGAUAAUAUUUCGCACCGCAUGGUUCAAAAGUGAAAGACGGUCUUUCUGUCACUUAUAGAUGGAUCUGCGCUGCAUUAGCUAGUUGGUAAGGUAACGGCUUACCAAGGCAACGAUGCGUAGCCGACCGGAGAGGGUGAUCGGCCACACUGGAACUGAGACACGGUCCAGACUCCUACGGGAGGCAGCAGUAGGGAAUCUUCCGCAAUGGGCGAAAGCCUGACGGAGCAACGCCGCGUGAGUGAUGAAGGUCUUCGGAUCGUAAAACUCUGUUAUUAGGGAAGAACAUAUGUGUAAGUAACUGUGCACAUCUUGACGUUACCUAAUCAGAAAGCCACGGCUAACUACGUG